UACGUAGGGGGCGAGCGUUGUCCGGAUUUACUGGGCGUAAAGGGUGCGUAGGCGGCCUUGUAAGUCAGAUGUGAAAGGCUACGGCUCAACCGUAGUAAGCAUUUGAAACUGCAGGGCUUGAGUGCAGGAGAGGAGAGUGGAAUUCCUAGUGUAGCGGUGAAAUGCGUAGAUAUUAGGAGGAACACCAGUGGCGAAGGCGACUCUCUGGACUGUAACUGACGCUGAGGCACGAAAGCGUGGGGAGCAAACAGG
This 252-nucleotide ribosomal RNA is filed under the name uncultured bacterium. RNAcentral describes it as "partial 16S ribosomal RNA". It matches the Rfam family "Bacterial small subunit ribosomal RNA", at positions 524 to 776 of the family's 1533-position model. The record is from RNAcentral.